RNAcentral lists this long non-coding RNA (1410 nucleotides) under Rattus norvegicus (Norway rat). Its description in RNAcentral is "long non-coding RNA NONRATT019882". The stretch from base 945 to 1013 matches the Rfam family "tRNA". Lineage: Eukaryota; Metazoa; Chordata; Mammalia; Rodentia; Muridae. The record is from RNAcentral.
CUAUACAUUUCUUUCUAGGACUCCCACUACAACUAAAAACUGAUAAUGGACCUGCUUAUACUUGCAAUUGUUUUAACUUUUUUUUUUGAAGUUUAUGGAAUAUUAAUCAUGUUACUGAGUUCCCUUACAAUUGACAGUGUCAAACUAUUGUAAAACAACACAAUCAAAGACUUAAAUUACAAAUUUGAAUUCCCACAUCCUAUGCCUAUACAUUUAGCUAUGCUAACUUUAAAUUUUUUUCACUUUAAAAGAUAGUGGCUUUUUCUGCUCCCAAAAACAUUUUAUCCAAAGAAGACACUACCUAAAGUGUGUGUGUGUGCGUGCGUGCGUGCGUGCGUGCGUGCGUGCGUGUGUGUGUGUGUGUGUGUGUGUUUAAAAAACCUUUAAAACUAAUCAAUGGAAAGUGCCCGAUGUCCUACCAUCGAGGCGAGGUUAUGCUUAUGUCUUACAGAAAAGUAAAUGAAGUCCCAGAUGGCUACUGCUCUGUGACACUUUGGACAAGGACAGCAUCCCAGAGACCACCAGAUCAGCAAGGGGGUCUAAGCUAGAUUACAAGCCCAUCAAGAGGGGACGUCCCAAGAGGAGGAGGAAGCCAGUAUCUCGGGGAGACUUUAACUGGUCAAGCCAAGACCUUGGGGAAACAACAAGGACAUAAUUCUGCUGACCCCCAAAUGAUGGUGUUACGUUUACUGACUGUAUUACAUGUUGAUUCUCAGCCUGUCAGUGCAGAAUCCAAAUGCCUUAUGUCAGGGGGGAUAAAGGGCGCACCUGUAAUAGGACAAAGUAUGAAGUUGUCUUGCUGUGCUAAUAAUCAUUUUGAUCCUCUGGGACCGACCAGUUGUCUGGACAAAAGAUAGUAUACAAAUAUUUAGACACAAGAAUGGGUGGCAUUAUGGGUAGACUAACUGAGCAGUUCAAAUGUAAUAAUACAGGUUUUAGGGGUUGGGGAUUUAGCUCAGUGGUAGAGCGCUUGCCUAGGAAGCGCAAGGCCCUGGGUUCGGUCCCCAGCUCCGAAAAAAAGAACCAAAAAAAAAAAAUAAUACAGGUUUUAGCUGAAGGCAGUACUCUAGAAAGCUUUGAUGGUGAAAGGAAUAUGUGAUAUAUUGCUUACUAAACUUGAACUGACACCAGGUACUGAGUAGUGUGGAAUCGGACUGCCUUCUUGUCUCCUGUGAAUCAUUAGUCUGUUGGCCUUGGUGGAGGAAAUAUGCCCCUGAAGGAGGGCUUUGAGAGUUAAAAGCCUCGCCUGGCUUCCCGAUUAGUUCCUGCUCUAUACUUGAUCUUCAAGGUGUGAUUUCUCAGUUUCAUAUCCCUGCCACCAUGCCUGCUGUGUGCUCUCAUCCUUCCUGCCGUAAUGGACUCAUCUCUGUUCUGGAACCACGAGCCAAAAUAAACACUUGUCUUCCUUAA